GUAUUUUGAGCUGAAACUUCACAGACACAUUCAGGGGACACCUUAGACUUAUAUUACAUCUUUUAAAAACAUAAUCUAGGGCACCUUUAAGUAUUAUGACUUACUGAUGGAUUAUGUUCUAUGAGUGAUGUGUGUGUGCUAUUAUGUAGAAUUCACUGUUGUCAAAACUGUUUACAUGAAUGAAAAUAAUGUAAAUAAACAAAUGUACACUUAACUAGACAGACUUAAGUUAUCUAUUCUAUUUGUCUGUUAGUACUGUUAAUAAAACAAGGAACAUUUGUGUUGGAUAAAAAGUGAGUUAAAACAAAUCUUCAACUACCUCAACAUUUAAAUGUAGAUUUGAGCACAUAAAUCUCAGAGGAAACUUGAAUCUUGUCUGAUGUUACAGGGACAGAAAUGAAUACAGUAGUUUGUAGUUUAUUUUAAUUAUUGUAAUUUCAAACAGAGUUAUUACAGCACAUUUCUGAUUCUUGAUGUCUGUAUGUUUGCUGCAGAGGUUUUGUGUUGGAGCAGGACCUACAAGGAAAGGUGACGGCGGCAUUUGUGAACAAAAAAAAAGAAAAGAAAAAGAAAACCUGAAACAAAAAUGUAAAGAUGUGAAAUGUCCUCUGACUGGUGUGAACACUGAGGAUGGAGAGCCACAGCAGAUCCUGGGAAUGGUGGAGAGCCAUGGACGAGACCCUCCAUCACUCCACCUGCCCUUACUGUCUCAUCUGACCUGAUGUGGUCAUGACUAACCCGUUAUGCCUCCAAAUAGAAACUGUAUGGAAUGGAUGAUCCUGAUGGAGUAACCUGGAGUAAAGUGUCUUGAUCAAGGACACACUGGUGGAGACACUGCAGAAAUCGAACCAGCAACCUUCUGUUGACCAGCUCAGUGGUUUAGCACACCACACCACAAAAUCAUGCUGAUGGAGAACACAUGAAUGUUUGCAGCAGCCAGAUUGUCCCACACAUCUCGUUUCACUCUUACUUCAAGGUUGUGGGGUUCAGGGGUCCAUCAUCAUGGUCUUCCUCAUCCUCUGGAUCAACGAUGUCCCCAUUGAGAAGAGCAGCAGUGAGGGACAUGAUGGAUGAAGGUGUUCAUCAGCUGCAGAACUGGCACAGCUGUGUUGAGAUAGCAGCAGGACUAUAAAUACGUGAUUGUUAGAUCAAUAAAUUUGAAUAAAGCUUUGUUUUGUUGACUUGUA
Long non-coding RNA from Megalobrama amblycephala (Wuchang bream), 1187 nucleotides. RefSeq lists it as uncharacterized. The transcript is spliced from 4 exons. The record is from RefSeq and is a predicted model, not a curated record. NCBI's taxonomy places the organism in Eukaryota, Metazoa, Chordata, Actinopteri, Cypriniformes, Xenocyprididae.